Molecule: ribosomal RNA, 426 nt
Filed under: uncultured bacterium
Lineage: Bacteria
Description: partial 16S ribosomal RNA
Rfam family: Bacterial small subunit ribosomal RNA
Source: RNAcentral
GUGAGGAAUUUUCCGCAAUGGGCGAAAGCCUGACGGAGCAAUGCCGCGUGAAGGAUGAAGGCCUAUGGGUUGUAAACUUCUUUUCUCAGAAAAGAAUUAUGACGGUAUCUGAGGAAUAAGCAUCGGCUAACUCUGUGCCAGCAGCCGCGGUAAGACAGAGGAUGCAAGCGUUAUGCGGAAUGAUUGGGCGUAAAGCGUCUGUAGGUUGUUUAAAAAGUAUUCUGUCAAGAAAUAGGGCUUAACCCUAGAUAGGCAGAAUAAACUUUUAAGCUAGAGUUUGGUAGAGGCAGAGGGAAUUACCGGUGGAGCGGUGAAAUGCGUAGAUAUCGGCAGGAACACCAACGGCGAAGGCACUCUGCUGGGCAGAUACUAACACUGAGAGACAAAAGCGAGGGGAGCAAAUGGGAUUAGAUACCCUAGUAGUCC